RNAcentral lists this ribosomal RNA (395 nucleotides) under uncultured bacterium. RNAcentral's name for it is "bacterial SSU rRNA". It matches the Rfam family "Bacterial small subunit ribosomal RNA", at positions 132 to 518 of the family's 1533-position model. The record is from RNAcentral.
UAUAGUAGAGGAUAGCCCGGCGAAAGUCGGAUUAAUACUCUAUGUUUUCCGUUGCAGACAUCUAAGAUGGAACAAAGGCUUGCCGCUAUAGGAUGGGGAUGCGUCUGAUUAGGUAGUCGGCGGGGUAACGGCCCACCGAGCCAUCGAUCAGUAGGGGUUCUGAGAGGAACGGUCCCCCACAUUGGAACUGAGACACGGUCCAAACUCCUACGGGAGGCAGCAGUGAGGAAUAUUGGUCAAGUGGGCGAGAGCCUGAACCAGCCAAGUAGCGUGCAGGACGACGGCCCUAGUUGGGUUAGUAAACUGUCUUUUAUGGCGGGGAUAAAGUUCACUACGUGUAGUGUUUUGUAGGUACCGCAUGAAUAAGGACCGGCUAAUUCCGUGCCAGCCGCGGC